GAUGAACGCUGGCGGCGUGCCUAAUACAUGCAAGUCGAGCGAACAGACGAGGAGCUUGCUCCUCUGACGUUAGCGGCGGACGGGUGAGUAACACGUGGAUAACCUACCUAUAAGACUGGGAUAACUUCGGGAAACCGGAGCUAAUACCGGAUAAUAUAUUGAACCGCAUGGUUCAAUAGUGAAAGACGGUUUUGCUGUCACUUAUAGAUGGAUCCGCGCCGCUUUAGCUAGUUGGUAAGGUAACGGCUUAUCAAGGCAACGAUGCGUAGCCGACCUGAGAGAGGGGUCGGCCACAUGGGAACGGAGACACGGACCAUGCGCCUAAGAGAGGCAGCAGUAGGGAACCUGCCGCAGUGGUCGAAAGCCUGACGGAGCAACGCCGAGUGAGUGAUGGAGGUGUUCGGAUCGUAAAGCUCUGUUAUGAGGGAAGAACAAAUGUGUAAGUAACUAUGCACGUCUUGACGGUACCUAAUCAGAAAGCCACGGCUAACUACGUG
Molecule: ribosomal RNA, 497 nt
Filed under: uncultured bacterium
Lineage: Bacteria
Description: partial 16S ribosomal RNA
Rfam family: Bacterial small subunit ribosomal RNA
Source: RNAcentral